CCUCAUUUUCAUCUUUUUGGGUCUGACUUUGAGUUUCCUUUCAAAUCUGUCAGUCGAGUUUUUAACAAAAUCAGAAUAAGAAAAAAUCUAAGCUAAUUCUACCAAAGUUUGAGCACCUUUUUUCCUUUAAAAGUGUCUUUAAAAGCCUUCAAAACGGAGCCGUUCGAUUCCUGAUGGCGGAUCUGAAACCCACAGCGAGAAAGUAUUGAGCUCUGCAGAAAAGCUGACACAUCGACUGGUAUCAGACAGUGUGAAGCCUGCAGCGUGUAUUCAUGUGAAAGGAGCCAAAGCUUUCAGCCGCAGCACAAUCGUCCAGCCUGCAGCCUUUCAGCGGCGUCUGCUCACACUGUGGAGUGGUCGCAGAAAGUUUCAGGUCUGAAUCCCAGCAGGUGAGGCUCAUGUCUGUGGGGGUUUUCAGGACACUCCGAGCCCCUCCCACAGCCAAAAAACCCUCGUUAGCCUCAAGACUAAACCUUAAAAACAUCAAAUCUCUCCGAGGACUUCAGUCUACGUCCAUGUUCACAAAACUGACCUCUGAGAAAAUGUUCAGUACGAUGUAACAAAUAAAUCUAAAGCUUUUGUUUGAUCUUGAAUCUCAUUGUAAGAUAAAGACCUCAUGAUGGUCAUUCCACGAGUACAAUAAAAACUUAAAAGUGCUCUUUGGUUUGUGUAAUACAGAGCCCCUAAAGAGACAAUGAA
Long non-coding RNA from Oryzias melastigma (Indian medaka), 699 nucleotides. RefSeq lists it as uncharacterized. The transcript is spliced from 2 exons. Lineage: Eukaryota; Metazoa; Chordata; Actinopteri; Beloniformes; Adrianichthyidae. The record is from RefSeq and is a predicted model, not a curated record.